RNAcentral lists this ribosomal RNA (564 nucleotides) under Bacillus altitudinis. RNAcentral describes it as "bacterial SSU rRNA". It matches the Rfam family "Bacterial small subunit ribosomal RNA", at positions 247 to 803 of the family's 1533-position model. Lineage: Bacteria; Bacillati; Bacillota; Bacilli; Caryophanales; Bacillaceae. The record is from RNAcentral.
AGUUGCUGAGGUAACGGCUCACCAAGGCGACGAUGCGUAGCUGACCUGAGAGGGUGAUCGGCCACACUGGGACUGAGACACGGCCCAGACUCCUACGGGAGGCAGCAGUAGGUAAUCUUCCGCAAUGGACGAAAGUCUGACGGAGCAACGCCGCGUGAGUGAUGAAGGUUCUUGGAUCGUAAAGCUCUGUUGUUAGGGAAGAACAAGUGCAAGAGUAGCUGCUUGCACCUUGACGGUACCUAACCAGAAAGCCACGGCUAACUACGUGCCAGCAGCCGCGGUAAUACGUAGGUGGCAAGCGUUGUCCGGACUUAUUGGGCGUAAAGGGCCCGCAGGCGGUUUCUUAAGUCUGAUGUGAAAGCCCCCGGCUCAACCGGGGAGGGUCAUUGGAAACUGGGAAACUUGAGUGCAGAAGAGGAGAGUGAUCGAUCACGUGUAGCGGUGAAAUGCGUAGAGAUGUGGAGGAACACCAGUGGCGAAGGCGACUCUCUGGUCUGUAACUGACGCUGAGGAGCGAAAGCGUGGGGAGCGAACAGGAUUAGAUACCCUGGUAGUCCACGACGU